GGUGAAGAACGUAGCGAAAUGCGAUAAGUAAUGUGAAUUGCAGAAUUCAGUGAAUCAUCGAAUCUUUGAACGCACAUUGCGCCCGCCAGUAUUCUGGCGGGCAUGCCUGUUCGAGCGUCAUUUCAACCCUCAAGCCCCAGCGGUUUGGUGUUGGGGACCGGCGAGUACAGAGGCUUUGGGGACUUGUCCCCCUUCCCUCGGCGCCGCCCCCGAAAUGAAUUGGCGGUCUCGUCGCGGCCUCCUCUGCGUAGUAGCACAACCUCGCAUCAGGAGCGCGGCGCGGCCACUGCCGUAAAACGCCCAACUUUUUUUAAGAGUUGACCUCGAAUCAGGUAGGAAUACCCGCUGAACUUAAGCAUAUCAAUAAGCGGAGGA
RNAcentral lists this unclassified non-coding RNA (375 nucleotides) under soil metagenome. RNAcentral's name for it is "partial contains 5.8S ribosomal RNA, internal transcribed spacer 2, and large subunit ribosomal RNA". The stretch from base 3 to 120 matches the Rfam family "5.8S ribosomal RNA", at positions 37 to 154 of the family's 154-position model. The record is from RNAcentral.